AUUAUUAAUAAGAUAAAAUAGAGUGGGGGCGCAAGUAUGGAGUCCGACUACAAUGCUAUCGAUAACACCAAACAUUUGAUACUAUUAAGUUUUCUAUCGUUAGAUCAUUCUUUUUGAUUAUUUUUAUCCGUUAAAUCAUAUUAUUCAAUCUUAAAGAACCACUAUUAUUCUAAUCAAAGAUCGCUUCAUCCACGAGUCGAAAACUAUACCAAUAACUUCUGUACUUUUUAGUUGGAUUACAGAAAAUAUAUUAUAACUGAUUUAUUGUAAUAUAUAGAAUGAGAUAAUGUAAUAUUAUGUACAAAAAUAAAUAUGAUAAUUUUACUUAAAGGUAUGAAUGACUUUCCUUUGGCGAGAUCUCAAUGUGCGCGCGUCAUGGACAAGUUAGGGCUGGGAGCGGGGCUUAUAAAAAUUAUCAAAUUUGAAUGUCUAAUUAAUAAUAUUAAAAAAAAAUCCUGGGCCUAUAAGCAAUAACUAACGAGUAUAUACCGCUUCAUUCCUUAUAUAUUUAUUUUUCUCAUAUCUUUUUUAUAUUUAAAUCAGCUUUUACUAGAGUUUAAAAUGAAAUUACGUACACUAGACUAUGUUAAAAAGCUCUCAUUUAUCUUGAGACCUAAUUUAUCUUGGGUCCUAAUUGUUUUCUUUUCCUCUUUCUUACUUUUGAAUAAAUAAAAAAAAAAGACUUAACAGGAAAAAUAUUGCUUGCAGAAAAAACCUCAUGUGGUCAUAUCUCCGGCAAUAGAGAGGACAAUUUAAACUUUCAAAUUAGGAUUAUUAAUCAGACAAAAAUUUCUAAAAGAAAACAUUUAAUAAAAGAUUAUUAAUAAAUUAAUAGUGUCGUAAUAGUGUUAAAAUAUUUGCUAGUUGUAGAAUUAGGAAAAAAAUAUUAUUAAAACUGAUCUGGGGAUAAAAGAGGUAUUAAAGUUUUGAUUAAUUAGUUUUAUAUUUAGGAAGGUAUCCAUAGAUGUUUAUAAUUUUGGAAGAAUAUUGAUAAAUUUUUAGAUUGUGAAAGCGAUAUCAGCGAAAUUACUGCAAAAAAAAAAAAAAAAGAAAACGAAAAAGAAAAAGAAAAGGAAAAAAAAGCUAAAAGUUGGAGACGACAACACCCACUGGGUGUGUCGGAAUCCCAGUUCCUCCAUGAACAGGCAAAGCACGAAUAAUAAAGCACGCCCAAAGCCGAGAACGAGAUCGGCGAGAGCUCAUCAAUCUCCAUUUCACGAAAUUAAGCAUCAAAACCCCCCAAAACACCGAGGAUUCGAAUUAGAUCCGAAUCAAAUCUCGGAGCGAAAUGGAUCGGAUCCUAAAAUCGGCGCGAGCUUCGGGAUCUCUCAACCUCUCCAAUCGCUCCCUCAGGUGCUUCUUCAUCUCAAUCCCCAUAUUAUCCCCUGAUUCAAAUUUAGGGGGCCGCUAAUUUAGUAUUAGCGAGAGCAAAAGAUGUGCUACAUUUAUGAUCUUUUCGCAAAAAAGUGAUGCUAAGAUCAUUAACAUUAAGACCAUCAUUUGGAUCAAAAUGUUUAAAUUUUUAAUAGAAAUGCAGGUUUAGCUUAAAAAUCUGAGCUUUUAUAUUGUCUUAGCAUUUCUUAAUUAUAUGUGAAAAAACUAUAUAUUACUCCUAUCUUAUGCCAUAUUAUGAAUAUAUGCAAAUUUCAUAAUUGUAUUUCAUAUCGCAUUUGCAUUUUCAUUCCAGCUUGAUGGCAAAAUCCAUCAUAUUUUUAGGAAACUUGUAAAAUUCAGAAGCAUUGGCCUUAAUUUCGUAUAAUUAUUGCGACAUUUUGCACGCAUUAUGAGCAUUUGUAUAAUUUUUUUGGUUUUUCACGUUCUUAAUUUCCUUAGGGAGGUACCUAAUGAGGUUUACAGGAACUUGGAAGCCGUUGGUGCCGACGACAAAUGGUGGGAGGUAUCAAUUUUUUCUAUUGUCCAUAUGCCAUAUGAAAUGCGUAAUCAAUACAUGAUUUUUUUUUUUUUCAAAUUUCGAUUUUGUCAUGACACGCUUGGAUUUUGCAGGCGGUCGAGUUGCAGAAGCUUAUUUUGGCUCAUAACAACAUUGAGGUUCUGAAAGAAGACCUGAGAAACUUAUCAUUGCUGUCUGUCUUAAAUAUAAGUCACAAUAAGCUGUCUUCUCUUCCUACAGCUAUUGGGGAGUAUGUAGCUUUCAUUCUUCUUUUUGUUUUUUCUUCUGAGUGCUUCGUUUACUCAGUAUCGUAGAUGAAGAUCGGAAUAUAGGAAUCAGAAAUAUUUGCUGUACUGCAUUGGAUUAGAACACCUCUUUUCCUUGUUGAUCAGGCUUCCCUUGCUAAAGUCCCUGGAUGUAUCAUAUAACCAGAUUACCAGCAUCCCCGAUGAGAUCGGGUCAGCAGCUUCUUUAGUUAAGUGAGUCCUUUUUUAAUUCCUUUUCUAAUGGCUUUUUGUAGGCAACGAAUAGGAAAUUUUGUUUUCAAUGAAACAACAUAAAUUGUGCAUGUAAAUCAUCAUUUUCUUACAAUGUCCUCUAUAUGCUUCGCUUUGUCGCUACUUAAUUCUUUCUACGUUAGGAUUUAAGUGCCUUGCCACAGGAUCGUACCGUAAACUUGCUGGCAUGGUAUGGCACAUUGCGUGCCAAGCUGUACCAAUGCGUGCUGAUCAUAAAGAAUACAUAUGUGCCGACGCAUAAUGAUAUGAAAAAUUUAUUUUCUUUAGCAACAAAAUUUUCUAGUUGCUUAUUAUGUAUCUUUAUCAAUUUUUUUGAACUUUAUUGAAAAAAUAACUUACUAAUUUAAAGUGAAAAGGGUUUUGAACUGUGCCAUCGGCACGGGGCUGUAUCGUGCUGAUAUCUUAUUGACAUGAUUAGGUACGGUAGAUACGGCACAUACCGAUGGAUACUUAAAUUCUUGUUUCUACGCAUAAGUAUGUGAGAACCCUGCUGUAACAAAUGUAAUUGAGGUUUAACUCAAUCCUCGCAGGCUCGACUUGUCAAGUAACCUUCUUAAGGAGCUGCCCAAUAGCCUCGGGAGGUGCUUAGAUUUAUCAGAGUUGAAGGUAAAUUUGCCUUUUAAUAGUGUUGUUCAUAACGGAAUGGAUAUGGAUGUCCUUUACUUGUUUGCUUUAUUUCCAGUUUGAAAUGUUUUGUCAAUGACAAUUCUAGAGCAGAUUCUGAUGAAUUCACCUUAUUAUUAGGCAUCUGACAAUUGCUUAGCCGGACUUCCCAAUGAGCUCGGCAACUGUACCAAGUUGAUGAAAUUGGACGUAGAGGUACUUUCCGCAAGUACCAUUUUGGUUUUCCGAACUUAUAAGCUGACUUUUAUUUUGAUACUUCACUAUGCUGUUCAAGUUCUUUCUUUUUUUCUUGCUGAAAUGUGAACAUUGACAUUUUAUAAUAUCUCAGGGAAAUAAGCUCACAAUGCUCACCGACAAAAUAUUCAUGCCAUGGACAAUGCUUACAGAACUAAAUGCAGGUAUCUGGAUAUAAUGACUUUAAUAAAUGUAAAUUAUCUCCUCCUACUUUUGCCUCUCAAAGUAUCCAACUUUCUGAUGAUUACAGCAAGAAAUCUGCUCACCAGCAUUCCCGAGAGCAUUGGGGUUCUUUCAAAAUUAAUUCGUCUGGACCUUCAUCAGAACAGUAAGAAAAAUCUGCUUGUUAAAUUGCAAUUUAUGGAGGUUUAAUUUGGGAUUUCUAUGUAUUCCCAUUUUUGGACUUACUAUGCCUUUUUCAUGUGCCUUUCUCCAGAAAUUUCAUCAAUUCCUUCUGCAAUAAAGGGUUGCUCUUCACUUGCUGAAUUUUAUAUGGGGUCUGUUCAAUCUUCCUGAAUUUUUGGGGGCUCUAUAACUUUACCAUGCAAUGAUUGCUUCAUAGCUCCUUAAAUCUCACUUCGAUAUGCUGUUUUGGCAUUUCAGAACCAACUCGCUAUCAACAAUACCACCAGAGAUUGGCGCUCUUUCUCACUUAGGGACUUUAGAUCUUCACUCAAAUCAGGUUAAUCAAUUUUUGCAUAUCUACUUUUAUAUUGAUUUUGUCAGCCCACUAGGCGCAGUGCUAACCUAUAAUAAUGGGAGAAUUCCCCCAGUUAAUUGUCUUGUAAUAAUAAUCACCUUUACAGAUCCUCUUAAGAGUUCAAUCCACAUGAAAUCCUUAUGGGUUAUCUUGGUGAAAUAUGAUACAGUAUAAUUAGUUCCAUACAUUUUAUAUGUUUCCAUCCAUGUGAAACAGUGAUUAGCUUCGGCAAUGUGAUUUCUUAUCAUUUUAUUAUACUAAAACUACUAUUUCCUGGUUGAUGAAUUGAUGGCCACCAGUUGAAGGAAAUUCCUGUGGAAAUGUGCAAGUUGCAGCUCUCUGUUCUUGAUCUGUCAAAUAAUUCAUUAUCUGGCCUGCCACCUGAGCUUGGUAUGUAUGCAGCUUCUCUUCAUCUAUUCUUUUUUUCUUUUUUUUUUUUGCAUAAUCUAGUGUCUGAAAUGAUCAAUAGAGCAAUGGAAGAGCUUGUUGAAGUAGGUGUGAAAAUUAAAUAAUAUGAUCAUUAAUUCAUUAUCGCACCAUAGCAUAGAGCAAUAAUAAAGUUGAGAAGGCUUCACAAAUAGUAGUUAUAGAACUUCUUAUGACUGAUUGUCAACUUCAAUUAGUGUAAGUUGUGGCUGAAUCUAGGUGUGCCAAAGUUCUCAAUGAAUGGUAUCGUGGAUGUCUGGAGAAUUUCCUGUCAUAGGCUACAUUUUGGCGUGGUGGUGGAAACAGCAUUAUAUGCGAACCUCUGCUGCUGCUGCAAAUUAAAUGCUCCCUUCACCUUUCUGAAAGCUGCUUGAAUUUAAAAUUUUGAUUUAUGUUAAUGGUCAAUUAAUUAAUUCAUAUAUAUCAUUACUAUCAAUUUAAGUACCUCAUGUCAGUAUAUGCUAACUGAUCUAUUGCAUUUUACAAGCUGGAUGAUUCAUUUUCUAAUUAUUGUUUCUUCAAUAACCUGUGUUUCUACUGAUAUGUGUUUUUCUAGUGCUGACUUUUGUAUUGAUCCUUUCACCAUGAGAUAAUUAUUAAUGACAUGAUACAAUUCUUAUUGACAUGAUAUCUUAUCGACGGUAUACUAUCUUCAAGGUACAAUGACUACCCUGAGAAAGCUUCUGCUGAGUGGCAACCCCCUACGAACUCUUCGGAGGUGUGUGUUGCAUUUUCUGUGAUUGAUCAACUGCUAAGUACUAAUAUCGUACUGAUGGUUUUUUUUUUCCUCUCUUUUCAAAUGGCAGUUCAUUGGUUUCUGGGCCUACACCAACAUUGUUGAAGUACUUACGAAGUCGACUCUCAUCGGAUGAAGAAGGUGCAUUGUUGCCUUCCAGUCGUCUCGUAAAUUUAUGUAUUCCAGUCCCUAUUUGUUCUUAUUCUGUCCCAGAUUUUUCUUAUUUCUUCCCAGUAAGUAAUUUUUAUAAUUUUCUUCUGCAGCAUCCGGAUCUACAGGCACUCCAGCAAAAGAUGUCGAAAUUGCCAUGGCGACAAGAUUGUCCUUGUCUUCAAAGGUAGAUUAUUUUUGUUAAAUUAAUUCCUUGUGUAGUCUCAUAGUACUUUGCUAAUUGGUUUACAGACAUGAAUAUUUUGUUUUAAUCUUCUGGGCAUUACUUUUUUCAUGCCUCAGGAAUUAAAAUUAACUGGUCUAGGAUUGACCAGUGUACCAUCUGCAGCAUGGGAGACAGGCGAGGUGGUCAAACUUGAUCUCUCAAAGAAUUCAAUCGAAGAGCUACCAAAUGAGUUGUCAACCUGCUCAAUGCUACAGGUGUGAAAGAUGUUUGAAUUUUAAAUGAAGAGACAUCAUUUUACACAACUGAUUUCUUGACAGAACAUAAAAUUUAGCUGAAAAGAAUCAGUCCUGUAUUUAUUAGUGUAUUAUGAUUGGUAAUAUCUGAUGUCCAUUGCAAAUUGAGAAAAAAAAGAAAAUUCUCCCACUCAGUGUUCUCCUGUAUAUGUUGAAAGAAUCUUUUUUUCGUACUUGAUUGCUUCUUUGGAAGCCUUCCUAACAAAAAUUUGUUCCCUUGUCUAGCUUUAAACCUUGAUGCCGAGAUGGCUUAGUAUGUACUUCUUGGUAAAGAAAUGAACCAUCUUCUGUGUUUACAUCCUUCUCUGUUAGGAAAGAGCUGUUGGUAAAAUUAUGCUCUAUAUUCUCACAGUACUUCUUUUAGGGAAACAUCAGCUCAGAGUUUUGUUCGUUUUGUAAUUUAACAUCAGAAGUUUUUCCAGAAUGGUUGGAGCUAUUAAUCCAUAUAACCUUAUUUUUUUCAGGUUUUGGUUUUGUCCAACAACAAAAUAAAAGAAUGGCCUGGAACAGUACUAUCCUCUCUUUCCAAUUUCCAGUGUUUGAAGCUGGACAAUAAUCCCUUGGCUGAGGUACUAGAACCUUAUUGUUGUCUUUUAUUUGUGUUUAUCUUUCAUCAUCUUUUUUAACCACUGGUCAAACUCUCAGCUGGUGUAAGAGGUUAGGCUAAAACAUCAGUAUACAACAAAUCUUACUCGAAAAUGUUUAACUACUAUACAACUAACACACCAUAACUUAACCGAGUCAAGCCUUAUUUAAUAAACAUGAAUCAUUCUAGCAACCCUCACAAUAUCCCUUGUUCUCAGAUUCCAUCUACUGGUCUUGAAGUCCUCUCAAAGCUUGAAAUACUGGAUUUGAGCUGCAAUACGGCUUCCUUGCCAGAUCCUUCCGUGAUUUCUAAAUUGCCUCAAUUGCAAGAAUUAUAUCUGAGGUUGGAAUAAAUUAUAAAGCAUCUUAGUAUACUAGAAAUAUCUCUUAGCAUUUUUAAACUGACCUUCUCUGAACAGACGAAUGCAGCUGGGCCAAUUCCCGACUGGUUUAUUGUGCUUAAGGGGGCUACGGAUUCUUGACUUAAGCCAGAAUUGCCUUGUAACAAUCCCUGAGGUAGAUCUCUCUUGUAAUCGGUAAUAUUUAUGAAAUAUGAAUUCAUUGAUUACACCCGGUCAUGUCAGCUAAUGCUAGAUAUUUCGGUUGAUCUGAUUACUCGAGGGUAAAAACUUGUGGAGAGUCCCUGUACUUUUGUGACAUUGCAUUCUGGUCCCUGGACUCAUGUUUGUCACCCGAAAUACCCAACUCAGUAGAGGCGCACACUCAGUACACGAGCUUUUUCUGUAAAAAGACCAUUAUAAUCUUCUUUUGUAAAAUGGCUUCCUUUAUGUGAAACCGCUUUAAGAUGCUCAUUUUGCAGAGCAAGCGUUGCAUACUGAGCUCAUGAGAUCAUGAAUUUUGGUUUUUUGGAAGGAGCGCUCUGGUUGAAGUGAAGUCCAGUAUCUUGCGAAGUUAUAGUGACUAACUGGCUAUUGUACUUACAAUUAUGCACCAGCUAAUAAUUAACUUGGUUACUGAAGAAAUAAAUAUGCACGUUUGCUUCAAGUUUCCUGAUCACUGAAAAGAAAAAGAAAGAAAAUUGGUGUCCGUACUUAGCGCUUGAUAUCUAGGUGUUAUCUGACAUGUCUGCCAUUGUCCUGAUUAAAAACAGGAAAUCAAGGAUUUGACAUCUCUUACUGAACUUGAUCUCUCCGAUAACAACAUUGCCGCACUUCCCCCAGAGCUGGUUUGUUUUUCCGUGGCUUUACUUUUUUCCUUCUUUCAUUAGCCCAAGAUAGCAGUUUUCAUAUCAUUUAGGCCCUAUUCGGAUGCGUGAGCAUCUUAUUAGGGAUAUCUCUUUGAUUUACCAGAGAAUAAUAUAGUAUUUGAUAGAUGAGUAGUGUGAUCAAAUGUCUAAAAUUAAUACCAUUUUCGACUGUCAAAUCAUUUUAGUGGAAUAUGAUAAAUCACCUCAUAGGUGAAAUAUGCUAUCCUACUAAUUUAUGGACGACAAAGCCUUUUAAGAAGCAAAAAUCAAGCUCCUAGAUUCUAAUCACGCAAGAAAAUCUUUAUACGAAUAGGCUAUUACCGAUAUCUUAUUCUGACAUCCAAACAGAGCCUCAAUGAUUUCAUAAAAUAAUAGCUGGGGUAGAAUGUAUGGUGCACACUACAUAGAAAAGUUGGUCAAGUGGAGAUUAAGCUUAUAAUAAUUUCCUCCAUUUCAAAUAAACAUAUUUAUUUUGGUAACUUAGAUUAGAAUACAUCAUCCAAGUUCUUAUGCAUUUUUAUCCUUGAAGACAAGCCUGAGCUGUUAAAUCAACAUACUGAUAAAGUUGAUUUAUAAAAUGAAUACUGCUAAUGUAUUAGGCUUGUAAUAAUUGACGAUAACGAGUAUUAACGAUCAUUUCUCAAGAUCUCAUGCAUCUUUAUACUCAUCAAACUAAGACAAUCUAUAUAACUUUUGAGAACGCUAUUACUUCGGCUUUUGAGUGUGCUUAUGACUAAACUUUUCUGAGCAGGGUUUACUCGAGCCCAACCUACAAGUCUUGAAACUCGAUGGGAAUCCAUUAAGAAGGUGAACAUGAUAUUCUUCUCUUUUCCUUUUUGAAUGAUCAGUUCUCAUUUUGACGAGAGUAAAAUUAAGGUUAUCCCCUUAGAUCCUAGAAAGGCCUUUUGGCCCAGUUGGAGCCCUCUAUCAGUGCUGUAUAUGUAUAGAGCAGUUUUAAGCGGACAGCUACUCACUGCACCGGAAGGAAAAGUUUCUAAUUAGAGCUUCUGCUUCGGGCUUAAAAAUGCAAUUGAGCUCCUUGCCAUAGCGAAAGCAAAUUAUUAAAUUUGCAAAGCACUUGUUGCUACUUUUCUGAGUAGAGAAGCUACCGUAAAAGCUGGGGUAAGCUCUCUAGAAUCAAAAGGCAUCUAAAUUUGGUAGGAGCAUUGAUUAAGUUGAAAUUACUGGAUUAAUUGAGUUUUAAUAGCCGUAAAUACUGUUUUGUCCUUGAUGUUACAUUUGCUCUACCAAAAAAAAAAAAAAAAAAAAGGGAUUAGUGGAAUGCUUCAGAGCAAAGUAAUUAGAGCUGUUAAACAAUGUAUUGCUUCUUUUCUGAGCGGUUCUUUUCUCUACUUUUGCAGCAUUAGGCGCACUAUCUUGGAUAAAGGAACAAAAGCAAUUCUCACGUAUCUUAAAGACAAAUUACCGACUCAGUAGAUUUUAUGGUUGCGAGUUGUAUAAUUAAUUAUUUCUAUCUGUACGACAAAUUUUUAGUGCGCUAUAUUAAAAAAAAAUUGCGGAAAAUAAUGGAAGAUGUAAAGGGGUUGUUAGUGCUGUGUAUUGAUGUUUGAUUUAUGUUGUUUGUUGUGGAGAAAGAGGUUUCACGAUGAUUUGAUGUUGUAAUAGUUUUCUACGUGAUGUUGUAAACGUUGUGCGCUCUAAAAUUAAUUAGUCUAAAGUUUUAAGUAUUUACUCAUACUCCUCGUGCACUCGUGCCUACUAUGCCAAUAAAAUAUGUAACAUUUAUAUCGAUUAAUUUACUCAAAAUCUUCUUUCUUUAAAAAUUAGUAAAUAGUUAUUGAAUAAAAAAUUUGAUAAUAAUAAACAAUUAGAAUAUAUUGAUGCUAAAAUAAAUAAAUAUUUUAUAUCAUAGUGUAUUGAUAUAUACAGUAUUUUUGUGAUUAGGAUACACACAUCGUAUCAUAUCAUGCUAGUAAGGCUAAGGCGAGCUUCGACGGUAUUAAAGCUCGCAGCCUCAUCUGUUUUUUAGACAUUACAAUCUAAUCAAAUAUUACUGCCAAAUAUGAAAAUAUUUUAAUUAUUAUCUUUUUUUACCAUUUUUUAUCAUAAAUAAAUUCCUAGUCCUGAUUAUCCAAUUAAAGUUAAAACACCAAAAUACUAAAUCAGCCUUCUUAUUUAUAAUUCUCCCAAUAGUUUACAGACAUAAUUAUCCCUAUCUAAUAGAAUCGUUUUUUUUUUUUUUCACUUUUUACUAUUAAUAGAUAAAUUUAUUAAAACUUAUUUACUGUUUAAUGAUUGAAUUUAAAUUCAUAUUCAAAAAAUCUAAUCGCUGUUCAAAUUGACUAAACUACCCCUCAGUCGCAACUUAACCAUCUUCAUAACUGUUCGCUGAUUGAUCCACGUCGCUCAGUGGCAUUUACGUUAUUUCACUCUUCUCUGGGGCUAAAUAUCUGCUGUGGAGAUUUUAAUGAAUGCGAAUAAGAUGGGGUUUUAAUCGCAACCUAAUGAAAAUUUCCACGACAACCAAAAUCCUCGACGCCCAUCUCCACUCCCCGCUCCUUCCACCAAUCAGAAUCCCUUAUUUUGUCGGGCCCACAUAGAGUGUCACAGAGGAAACAAUAUGCACCUGGUACACCAGUAUAUAUAUCAUGCACCAUGUUAAUAUUAUUUGAGGUGAAAUAUAUGGAGACCCCCUCAACAAAAAGGGCUUUUUUGAAAUAACUGUCUCUAUUUCACCAUUUUUUUUUUCCCAUUAGCAAUCUUUUAAUAUCUAUUUUUUUUCUUUCAAAAUUUUUAAUUAUUUAGUUUUUUUAGAUAUAUAAAAUAUAGAAUUUAUCUAAAUUAUAAGCUAUUUUGAGUUGACUAUCUAACUUCUAAAAUUUUAAUUGUACUAUUCAAUCUUUCAAACAAAAUUAAUGAUAUUUUGAUUUUAAAAUUUAAGCUAAUUACUUGCUUAAAUAAAUUUAUAGUUGUAAAAAUUAUAUAAAAUAUACUAAAUAAAUUUGUAAAGAUAAAUGACACAUUUAAAAUUUGAAGUUAAAGUGCUAUUGAUUGACUCGAAUAAAAUAAAUUAAAAAAUUAGAUAGUAAAAUCAAAAUUUUGAAUGGUUGAAUAAUUGAUUCAGAAUAAUUUAUAAUUUUAAUUUGAGCAAUACUUUCUGUACAUCCAAAAAAAUGAAUAUAAAUCUUAAAUUCUAUUGAUCCAAGGAUUAUAUUUUUACACUAUUUUAUUGACUUUUUUAAUUAAAAAUACCACGCCACGUUUUUUAGAAGUAAAAAUAUUAUUUUUCUUCUAAUUUUGAGAUGUAUGUGAAAAGAGUUUCAAAUGCACGGUCUACGGGGUGCACGUGGUGCACGGAACAAUCCUCUUAAGCAUCCCUCGUACAAUGCGGUACAUGGUCUUCGACGUACACGUGGCCAUAGUGUUGUUCUCACUCCAUCUCCUCACUAUAUUAAACUAUUACUGCACAAUAACCGCGUCGCCUACUUUUUGACGCGCGCCACCGCCACGUGGCGUCCACGGAGCCCUUCUUUUCCGCGGGUUCAUGUCACGGCUCGCCUCCCUUUGUACGCAACGAACCACUGUGGAAGCACCGAAGAGGGGGCGAUCCUAGGGCUCCGAGAAGGAUCCAGAAGCUAGGGUUUCGAGGGUUUCCGAACGGGAGGGGAAGGGGGAGGGGGAGGGGGAGGGGGAGGAGCCCGGCGAUUUAGGGUUUCGAUCGAUCGCUUGAUGAGUAGUUGCGGCUCCGUAGCGGGAGAUGUUCUUCGUUUCCAUGCGCAAAUCGUUCAAGGACUCCCUCAAGGUCCUCGAAGCCGAUAUCCAGCACGCGAACUCCCUGUGAGUCCCCACUUUCUCGGAAGGGAUCGCUCGUUUUCCUUUUUUUGUUUUUUGUUUAAAUGAUUUGAAUUUUUCUCGGGUAGUUCCUGGAUUGCAAUUACUGUAAUCGGGAGUUGGGAAGUGUGGUUUUUGAUCGCUGGGAGUCGUUAAUUUCUGUUCAAAGGGAAACAGCGACAAAAAUCGCUCGUAAAUUUGUUGUCUAUGAACUAAAUGUUAGCUCUCUAGGUUCAAUUUUGUCUCAGUAUAUGUUGAUCCUUGAAAUUCUCGGUUCCGUAAAGUAAUUCAUGCAACAUUUCUCCUUUUUUCAAUUUUUACUUUAUAUUUUGAAGCAUAAAGGUAGUAAUGAACUGAUAAUCUAAUCUAAAUUUGGCGUGAUUUGCAGAAUAAAUCUCUUAAAAUUAUUUUUUUUUUUCCAUCAGUAUGAAAUUGCACCUGAGAUAGUAGUGCUUCUAACUUAUUAAAAUUUUGCUAAUUGUGGUGCUCUAGGGCUUCGGAUUUCCCAAGAGAAUAUGAUGGAGCUUGCCUUCAGAUGCGGAUGUCCUACAGCCCCGCCGCACACUUGUUCCUUUUCCUGGUGCAGUGGACUGAUUGUAGCCUUGCCGGGGCUCUCGGGCUGUUGAGAAUCCUAAUUUACAAAGUAAAUCUUUACUUCGUUUUUGAUUUCGAUGUUGCAAUGCAAUUUCAUUGUAGUCUCACUGUGUCCUUUUCGUGCAGGUUUAUGUAGAUGGAACAACCACCAUGUCGACCCACGAAAGGAAAGCGAGUAUUAGGGAAUUUUAUGGUACACUAUAUUUUCGCUGUUGAAUUCAAUUUGUGUUUGAGGUUCUUAUGGUGUUAGUUUUCGCAGCUGUGAUAUUCCCCUCGCUGAUGCAAUUACAUAAAGGGAUAAAUGAUAUGGAGGAUAAGAAGCAGAAGGCCGUGUGUAUCGAGAGGUAUCGAAGAAGAGACGAGGAUGAGAGGUGGCAUUUCUCGGAGAUCGAUGUUGAGAGAGAGGAUGAAUGUGGGAUCUGCAUGGAGACGAACAGCAGGGUCGUGCUCCCGAACUGCAGUCAUGCUAUGUGCAUGAAGUGCUACAGAGAGUGGUAGAAAUUUCAAUCCAUCUCAUUCUCUCCUUGUCUAAUCUAUUACACCCUUUAGUUCCAUUUUCUUGAAAUUGCAGUAUCGGAAGGUUCAUGGUGAACUAGGUUGUAAUUUCUAGUAAAGUUAUUCUAUAAAUAUAAUGCUCUUAUAAUGAGAACAUAGAUGCAUUUGUUUUUGUGCUUUUGAUACUAUGCUGCUCCUUAUUUGCAUAUUCAACAUUGGAUGUUGGAUUUACUUGACUUAGCCCUUUCAAUCUAAAUUUGCUUAUGUAAAAAUGAUUCUGCUCAGCAACUUUCUGAAAUGUAAGAAAAGUUUGAGAUAAGCAUUUGCUUGUGCUAUGUAUUGUUUUCAACAUACUCAGUGAUAGUGGGUCGGAUAUGAGAUAUCACUCUCUCAAAUUAUAGACUGCCUUGGAAAGGCCGGCUUGGUACGUUCUGCUUGUUUUUUAAAGCAUGACUGCUUGCUUUUGAGAGUUAGGAAUAUAAGCCUGAGCCAAAAGGGUCAGAAGCACUAUAUUCUCUUCUAUCAGUGCUUUGUGGUAAUGUAGAUAUAUUUUAUCCAUAUAUGCAAUCAGAGCCGAAAGUAGCUUAUUAUCACGCACAGGAUUAAUGCCUUUUCUUAUGGAAGCUGAAGGGCUUCUAGAAUGAAUUAUGUAUCAGUGUUGGUGAAGAAAGUAAUGGUUAUACUGGAGACCAUUUACUUACGCGAUGUAUGGGUGAAGCAUAUAUUAUUAUAGGCUGUACAAGCACACUGUUUAUCAUCUAUUUCCCUUUACUUCAAAACGGCCCCGAGAACAAGCAGUAGCAAACCUGUGUUAAUAAUGGACUAUUAUGCCUUCUUGUAGUAUGUUGACUUGCUUUGUACAUGCUAUUUCCUCGUGUGCGAUUAAUUGUAGGUUUUGCCUUGAAUAGGAUCUCCUUUUGCUGUGGCUGCACCAAGAACGACUGAGAAAAAUACGCAACUUCCUAAGUCCUGCACCAUUGCAUCAACCUUCUCAUUAACAUUUCUGACUAAAGUUACAACGUCCUUUUAACUGCAGGCGUUCACGGUCGCAAUCGUGCCCGUUCUGCCGCGACAGCUUGAAGAGAGUAAACUCGGGCGAUCUAUGGAUAUUCACUGAUGGCAGAGACAUAAUCGACAUGGCGACAGUGACGAGGGAGAAUCUGCGGCGUCUCUUCAUGUACAUCGACAAGCUCCCUGUCGUCAUCCCAGACUCUGUAUUGGAUUCCUAUGAUUCUCAUGUAAAGUGACCGGAACGAGUAUCAUAUGACUUCCUCCUCGUCGUAACUCAGAAACAAUUCUUUCAGCAAGUUUCUGCUAUCUGAUUGGCGGAAGUUCCUCUGGAGCUGCUGCUAAUAUUUAGGCAGCUUAUUUGACUUUUGAGGAGACUCUUCUAGCAGGGAAGGUGCAAUAUUGUGCUCGGCUUUUGUAAAUAGUUGUACAGGUGGUAAGUUGGUUCUGUAUAUUGGAAAACCAAACCUUUCUCAUCAUGCUGAACUUUCUAUUGGGUAAUUAUUAUAUAGUUAAAUUCAGGAUAUUUCAUGUGUUUAAGGCUUCUGUUGAACUUAACUAUCAUUUAAAAGCAUCUGCAUGGAGGCAGAGUUGUAGAUGGUUGUAAUAUUUUGGUUUCAAGCAUGGUGUUUACAACUCUUCAGCUUCUGCGCGAACUCGCCUUUUUUGAUCUUUUUUUUCUUUUUGUCUUUGCUGCUUGAUGCUCUUUCGAUUCGGCUGUGGUUUCGGAACGAUAGUGAUUUGUUCAGGGACAUGAAUAAAAAGGGAAUUGGGGUUGUUUUCGAAAACUCGAAUCAAGGUUAGAAAAAUAGAAAAAAAGAAAACAAUAACAAUUUGUUCUAACGCAUGAAAAGGGUUUUUUUUUUUUUUUUGGGUUUGAGAACAAGGUAGGUAGCUAGCUAUUUGCUUUAUUUAUUAAGUGAAAUGAACUAAGCUUAUAAAAUAAAAGCAGCUAAUGCUUUCAAAAGAAGAGAAAAAAGGCAGCCCAAAAAGGAAGAAAAGGAUAAAGUAAAAGAAGAAGCACGAAAAAUAAAUCAAAUAAACAAAAAAGAUGUUGGCGGAUUGUGACUGUCUUAGGUCAGCAGCAGUUUCUGAUUAGCAGAAAUUUCUCCAGUUGCUUAGGUAAAGUUUCUGAUUAGCAGAAAUUACUCCAGUUGCUUAGGUAAAGUUUCACGCGAGCCAGCGAGUGAGUCUUCAUGGAUUGGGGGUUCUCGAUUGGAAGAUAAAGUUGUUUCUCUCGGUCCAGACUACCCACCAUAUACCUGACAGUAAGGACAAUUCUUUUUUCCUUUUCUCCGCAUCUGCUAGAUUGAAAGUUCUUGUCCAAAAUUCUCGCGCAUCGUCCAGGAACACAUGAAAAGUAUUAUAAGAGGUUUAAUGUCGUUGGUUUAUUCUAGGUACCAAGACUAUUUUGUUAUCAACAUACCAUCAAAACAGAGAAAAACAUAUCUUCAUAGGAGUUUUUUACUCCAAUUCUAUUUUGUUUAGUAAUAAUAGUGUAAUAACUAGCUUUUCACCCGUGCGCUGCACGGCUAAUAUAAUAAUAUAAAAUAAUAAAAAUUAUUACAUAAUGAUAAAAAAAAUAUUCUAAUUAAUAUUAUAUUCUUUUAACAAAUAAAAAAAAAUACUAUCAAUCAGACUUAUAGUACAUAUUAAAGUACAAAAGCUAGAGAAAAAAAAUUAUGGACGAAAGUAAAUACUCAAGUAAAAAGUAAAAUUCAACCAUGCUCUAUUAUCUAUGAAUUGAUGUGCAAAAUAAUUUACAUUUACAUAUUGGUGUGCAAAACAAAAUGAUAACUAAAAUUGAUAUGAAAAAUUACAAAUGACAUUAAUAUUUAAGUUUAUAAUGAGAUUAACUAAACUUUCAUAUUUGACACAAAUUAGAGUAGGCACACGUAUAUUAUUUCCCUACUGUCACUUUUAAGAUUCAAAAAUAUAUAGAUGUUGGUGUUCAAGAUAAUAUANUAAUUAUUUUCUAAUUUAUUUACUAUAUACUAUAUUUGAAGAUGACACGUGGCAAGUCUAGAAGGUGCCACGUGUCAGUUUUAUACGAAGUAAUCACCCAGGAUUCUACUUUAGUAUAUAGUAAAUAGAUACUGAGCACAAUACUAAUGGCCCCCAUUAACCCAAUACUAAGUGGGCCAAAUUCGGCUUACUAAUUAAAACCGAGCCUAUAAAUUAUUGAGGCAACAAGCGAGACUCGUUCGAUUUCUUUUGAGUUUUAACCUUCUCCUCCCCUCUCUCUGGCCUCUGCUCUUUCUCCUCCUCUCCCCGAUAAAACCCCACCCUCGCGGAGUGCCGGUGCUCUUCCUCCUCCUCCUCGAUCGUCCACGCCCUCGUCGUCGUCAUCCGCCAUUAACGAGGCCCGGAGGAGGAGGAGGAGGAGGAGGAGGGGGAGGAGGUAAAGAUGCCGCAGGUGCGGAUCGUCCCGAAGAACUUCAUGGACUUGGUGGCGGCGCUCCCCGCCGCCAAGCUCGACAAGCUUUACGACAGCGUCUUCAUCUGCGAAGCCGUUCUCAGGUUCCCUCUCUCUCUCUCUCUCUCUCUCUCUCUCUCUCUCUCUCCCUUGGAUCCACUGUUCAAGUGUCUCGUGAUCGAUCAACUUGUUCCUAAAUUUGGAUUUGUUGGGUAGGUUUCGUGGAUUAAAUGAGGAAUCGAUUUAAAAUUUGGUUUUGUUGGGUAGUUUUCGUGGAUUAAACGAGGAAUUGAUUUAAUUCUCCUAUAUUUCAAGUGGCGCUUGAUUAUCCAAUUUGUACAAGUCGUGACCCCGCUUUACGUUCUCAUUUUUCAUCCUUUUCUUAUACUGGCAAAAGCUUUUUAUGCUGGUAUAGGCGCAUCUGUUGAUUUGAACUAUGAUUAUCUAGUUUCCACUCAUUACAUUGUUAAACUUGAAUGCUAAAGAGUAUUAAUUAGCUCAAUUUCUCAGAGAAAGUUUGAUUUUUUUUUUUAAUUCUUUUUUAAUUGUAGAUCCUUGCCACCUUUGGCUAAGAAGUAUGUUUUGCAAAUGCUGUUUAUUGACUUUCCUGUAACGGCAAAGUCGAUGGAAGAAUGGGUGCUCGCAGAUGGAUUAUCCAAGCACAAAGUGGCGAUUGAUAGGUUGCUUCAGCUUCGAGUUAUUCACGAAGUAAGCGAGAGGUACCUCCUCACAUGUUCUUUUGCCCAUACUAUCUAUUGUAUUUUAUGUUUGCUUCACCGUUUGUGUUCGAUGAUCUUUUGUUUUCUUGGGUUCGCAAGUAUUUGCACCUGAAUUUGCUUUAUUCCUGCUUUUACACUUUUGUUGUACCGUUUCUUUUAUGUCUUUUAAAAUUUCUUGACGUUACAUAAGCAAUUAGAGUAGCUAUAAAUUUGAUCUAUUAGGGCAGUUUUCUCUGCAUCAAAAAGGAAAUUGUCUUUUCCUUAGUAUAUCUCGUUUAUUUCACUAACAGGAAAAAGGAGACUAGUUAUAGGAUGAACCCAAAGUUUCAGAAGAAUUUGCAGCAGUACUUGACGCAUGGGUAAGUAUUCGUGCUCAAUAUUCCAAGUCUCUAUUGCCGGAAACGACUAAUUUUUUGUAGUUCUCACUUAACACAUCAGUAAAGCUGAAUGGCCAUAUUGAACAUUUCCUGCACAAAAAUUACAUUACGCUAAAGACAUAUUUCAGAAAAUUUUGUAUUAGUUCUAUUCCAAGAGGAUAUUUCAUUGUGUUCAACUCUGUUUAACUGAAACAAUUAUGUACUAAUGUCUAUACAGAUGAGCUUGCCUCUCAAGUUGUCUAGUCGUUGAUGGUAAUACGGUCGUCUAUGAGACUCCAAUAAACUUCUGACCAUUUUUAUUGUAGAUAAGAUGGAUAAGAUGGAUAGGUCUUAUUUGAUUAUCUAUAAAAUCUGCAUUCAAUGUACCUGGUGCUUAACAAUGUAAAUACCUUUGUGCAGUUAUGCUUCUAACCGAUAUUUGGAUUCUAUUUCUAAACUGGGAACAUGUUAUAAUUGUAUAGUGUGUUUUUUAAGUGCAGUGGAACUCUACCAAGAGAGCCAAUGCCUCCAAAUGUCACUGUGAGGUUGCCUACGCUGGAGGAUCUAGAGGUCUAUGCACAUCAACAAUGGGAGGUAACGAUACUGUCAUGGUGUGCUUUUGGUUUGUUCUUUAGUCUGUUCCGUGUAAGCUCUUUGUAUUGUUAAAUUUUUGUUUCUAAAUCCUCAUUUUAGUGAUUGAUAAUUUUUUUUGUUUCUUAAUCCUCCUUUUCUGGUUUGAGAAAUGGUAAAAGUGUACAAACUUUAUCCAGACUUUAGCCUACUUUGAAAUGGACAUCUCAACUUGGAAAUUUUGGUUUUGCUACUAACAUUUCAUUACAUUUGAUUAUAGAAAAUUCCAUCAAAUUCUGUUACAAGUUAAUGUUUCUCUCAAAUAAAAAUGUAGAAUAUUCCAUCAAGUAAGAGAAUACUCUGUUAGAUUGCAGAAUAUUCCAUUAAAAAAAAAUGUGAAAAGUACUAAUAAGUUCCAAAGAGAAGAUAGUAAAUCGAAUACACUAAAACUUUAGGUUGUAAAGUCAAAAUUAUAAAGUCAAGGUAUACAUUUUAAGAUGUGCUAUCGUUUAGGAAAGGUCUAUAUGAUUUUACCUUGAUAAAAUAUCUCCCCUUAUAAAUUUCCGUUACCUAUUUAUAGUAAAUUGUGACUGGUUUUCUGGCAAAUCCAGUGCUUCUUGCUACAACUUAUAAACUCAUCUCAAGCAGAAAGGUUGACAAGCUUCAGCUCAUCCACGAUGAGAGUGUUCCAGCGAGGCCUUUUGAGUUCAAGGUUCUGGUUUAGAGACUUACCUCGCUUUGACUGUCACAUGUUCUGUAUCAUGCUGCUUCUGUUAGAUGAUAGUAUUACAAGAAGUGCAAUUAUGUAUACAUACCCGCACGGCUAAAACUGUUUGUAGAUAACAACCAAGUAUUUCCUGUUACUGUCUUGUUUAAAAUAUUCGCUCUGUCAUGAGUAUCAAUUUAAGUAAUUUUUGCUAGACCUAGACCAAUAAUCAAGAGAACUCUUUUGUUACAUUAUUCCGAAAUUAUUGGUUUAAUUAUCAAUUGAUGUAAGGGGGCAUCUCUCUUCAUUGCUUUGGUUCCUUAUUUGAUCACAUCAUGAAUGCUCUAAAUCACAAUGAACAAUGGACGAUUUGAAUUUAUAUGUCAAUCAUGUGGUUUUGUCUACUCAGAAACAACUAAGUUACCCAAAAAUUUUGAGCUGUCCAUACGUGGUUUUGCCUAUUCAGAAACAACUAAAUUCCCCAGAAAAUUUAAGCCGUCCAUGUCUAUGUUUGCCCAAUAGAUGCCUAUGUCUGUAUGUAUGCACAUUUGUUUUUAUUACUAGGCACAGAAAGAUGUCUGUUGGUUGGUGGAUAUGUGGAUACGUCUAUGACAGUAUGUAUGGGUGUCUUUGUGUGUGUGUGUGUGUGUGUGUGCGCGCAUGUGUGUCUGUGUGAAAGAUUUGCACAUGUGUGUCUGUGUGAAAGAUUUUAUGUUAAACCUAUCAAGCUGUAAAACCACAUGAACAAAACAGAGGCAGCUGUACUCUUGUGUGCUAAAAAGUCCUUGUGUGUUGCAGGGAAAAUGAGGCUCCCAAGUUAACCGAGAAUGGCUUCCAGUUCCUUGUGCGUGUCACUCAAGAUUAUUUGUAAAUUAAGCCUCAUGUUUUGAGCCUUUCAUGUAUAUUCCUUUUGUAAACAGCUCAUGGACACCAAUGCGCAACUUUGGUACAUAAUAAGAGAAUAUAUCUCAACAUCAGAGGUAUAACUAAUGUACACUCUUAUUAGUUUGGAUUGUCAGUAUCACUAAUGUCUUUAUUUAUGUGGGCUUCUAGUUGUUUAAAUUUUCUUCCCACAUGGUGCAGGAUCGUGGAGUGGACCCGACAGAUUUGAUAUCAUUUUUACUCGAGCUUAGUUUUCAUACUUUGGGAGAGGUAGUAUUAUAUGCAAAGUUCAUCAAUAUUUUAGUUUUUAAUGAGCUGUUUAUGUGACUUUCUUAUUGUUAUGUCUUGAUUUUUUUGGUCGGGGCUAUAGUCUAAUCAAUUUCUAGGAACGGUAACCUUUGAAGGUUGCCUUAUAUAACCUAUGUUGAUGAGUUUGUAUUACAGCUGCUACUUGUCGCAGUAUUAUGCUGUGCUAAUUGCAAGUUCUUUUAUGUUCUUGGCGAUAAUUAGUCAAGUUAUACUACUAUGUUUAAUUGCAGUUUUGCAUAAUUAAUACUUUGUACUUUUCAUCAAUAUACUAAUGAUUGUUCGCUCUCAUACUCUAGGCUUAUAACUUGAAUACCCUCACGGAUGUUCAAAGAAAUGCUAUCAAGGACCUUGCUGACUUGGGAUUGGUCAAACUUCAGCAGGUGAAAGUUAAACUUCUUGUCACUUUUCUUGGUCAAUUAAGGCACUUUUGUGUUGAAGUCCUAACAUUCUUAUAUUAUAGGGAAGAAAGGAAAGUUGGUUCAUACCUACUAAAUUGGCUACGAAUCUUUCUGUGAGCUUAACAGAUUCGUCGUCACGCAAGGAGGUAUUAAUUUAUUAUCUUGCUUCUAUUCUUGAACACAAUUUAAGAAUGUUUUUGUUAUUGUGUGGACAAAAAUAUCUAAUAUCUUGAGGCAAUUCUUCACCAUAUAUUAGUUCGGAUGCUCAAGUUUUCUGCUUGUUAGUUUUGUAUUUAGGGCUGUUGUUGUCUACAAACAACAGCUCUGUAUUCAAUAGUAGUAACUGAAAAGAUUUUGGAAUGAGUUCUAUCAAUGCUCUGAUAAACUUGAGAAUGCGAGGAUAGAUCUCUGAACACAAACAAAAGGUUGGUCAAAUUGGGGCUAAAGUAAGUUUUAGAAUUAUGUGAAAAUUGUGACUAAGAAAGUUAAGCAUGUAAUUAGAAUUUUUUUUUGCAAAGAUUUAAUCGUAGGAGAGAGUAUGUGUGGGAAGUAAAACUAUCAUAUCUUUUAGAUAGGAAAAUUUGUAAAGAUAAGAAGCUGGCCACAAAGUGCAAAUGAAGAUCGAAAUCAAACUGAUGGGCAAAGCUUUUGUCUACUUGCGGGACGUCUUGCAGGACAUGGAGUUCUGAUAGAUGGGAAACAUUACUUUUAGUCAUCUAAAGAUUUUAAACUACUAUAUGCAAUACGUGAUAUCUUCGUUGGUUAAACUUGGUAUCUAUAAAUUUGCAAUGAUUCAUCAUUAACCAAUUUUCGAUAUCUUUCCUUUCCCAGGGAUUUGUGGUAGUUGAAACAAACUUCAGAAUGUAUGCUUACUCUACAUCUAGGUUACACUCUGAGAUUUUACGCCUCUUUUCAAGGUAUAUGAGCUUUACAUCAGACAGUUUUUGAAACAUUUUUCCGUUCUAUGUUGUUAUAUUAUUUGGAAAGUGUUUCUCGCUGCAUUCAGUGGUAUUAUCUUGUUCUUAUUAAGAAUAUUUUACAGUUUGUCCUGUCAUUAGUGAAUGUUUCUUCUUGUUAAUGUAUCACAGGAUCGAAUAUCAGCUUCCAAAUCUCAUAGUUGGAGCUAUCACUAAAGAAAGCUUAUAUAAUGCUUUUGAAAAUGGUAUUACUGCAGAACAGGUACGAGAAACUGGUUUUUUGGACUUCUUUUAUAUUUCUGCCCGUAACCAAUGUGUUGUGUGCAUUAGUUUGUCAUUAACUGAUGUUUAGUCUAUGACUUACACAUGUUUUUAGCGUAUAUGUUGCUGUACGUUGUUGAAAUUAGAUUUUUUUUUCAAAAAAAAUAAUCUUUGUCCUCUUAAGGACUUAAUUAAGCUGCACCUUUUCAGAUAGUCUCAUUCCUUCAGCAGAAUGCUCAUCCUAGAGUUGCAGAAAAAAUACCUACAGUUCCAGAGAAUGUUACUGAUCAGGUAAUCAAACACUCUCUCAACAGUGUCAACUUUUUCCUCUCUUUCUUCUUUUUAUUAUGGCGGGUAAUUGCAAAAAUAAAUACACUACUUCAGAUAAGGUUAUGGGAGACAGAUCGAAAUAGAGUUGAGAUGAUCCCAUCCCAUCUCUAUGAAGAUUUUCCUUCAAAGGUAAUAUCAUGAGAUCUCUUGUUUGGAUACCAAAUGUAGGUUAAUUUUAUCUUCCAUUUUUUAUCGACUCUCGACUUACGUAGAUUAUUUCUUUACGUAGGAUCUCUUUGAAGCAUGUUGUGAUUUUGCAAGAGAAUAUAACUGUUUGCUGUGGGAGGACUCGAAGAAGAUGAGGCUUAUAGUCCGAGGAGAAUUCCACCAGCAAAUGCGGGACUUCCUCCGUCGUCCGAAACAGUAGACCAGUCAGUUUUCUUCUUUGUCAGUUUAAAUGAAGCUUUUCCUGAGAAGAAAGAAAUACAUCUAGCUCAGGAAGCCAGUUUACCUCUGAAGCCCUCGGAAGAAUUUGCAAAGUUGAAGUUGCAGAGCCGCUUUCUGCAAACUUCACCACCAAAGUUUUGGAUGAUGUUGCAACGUGCUCACGGAACAUAACAACGAAAGGUUUGCAUCAGAUAUGUAGUUAAGUUAGGCAAAUGAGGUAUUCACUGCAACAAAAAUUCCGAUUGUUUAUUCCGCCUAUAUAAUGAUGCCAAUAGGCGGUCGGAAAAGUAAAAUAUUGUGUAAUCUUCUGUUGUAUUCUAUGAUUUGUUCUGCAUAAGUCUUCAGGACAAUUUGGUAAUUGGAGUAGGAGAAUGUGUGUUUUUAGUAAUCUACUCUGUUUUGACCUAUUGUCAAGUUGUCAUAUGAUAAUUUACAUUACAAUGAUUUAUUGAUUUAUGUUGCAAAAUAUUAUUUCUUAUGUUGAAUUCAAGGACCAUUCAAGUGUCAACCGGUUUUUGGGCCACCACAAUAUUCUCCUACCUUGCUGCAUUUACCUGCUCAUGGUUACUUUUGAGUGCGCUUAGCUUGAAAUGCCCAACAAGAUCAUUCAAAAGAACAGUUCUGAACAAAACUCCCUUUUUGAUACAAAUGUAUUUAAAAGACCUAAAGUUAGAGAAAUAAAAUCAGUUACUUCCCUGCAAUAUGGUAGUUAGAAAGAUAAGUGUUGAAGGAAAUAACUUAAAAAGGACGUACCCAGGCUUAAAAUUUCAUCUAUAUAUCAUGAAAGAUCUAUCAACAUUCAACAAUGAAAAGGUACUAGCAUUGAAAAACAAUCGCUUUUUUAUGUCAAAAGCUACAUUGACGGCAGAGGCAUUACAAUGAUCUACUAAACCAAAAAACAAAAAAGGAAAUCUCACAACAGUCAACAGAACUCACAUAAGCCUCGAGUCUGCUUAUUCUCUACGAGUGCCGCAAAUCUAGAAUCCCUUCGUCGCGGAAUGGUAUAAACUCAAGUUAGGCAAAAUGAGGAAGAGCUCAGGCAAAAAUACAAGCCAUUAUGGGUGUGCAUACUGUCGAGGAAAAAAAACAAAAAAAACUGUUUAGUGAAAGAGAUAGCACCACCCAGCGAGCUUCCAUCAAUGAACGUAUAUGCUGUAACAGUUAUUAUGUUAGUCCUAUGCCGAUGUAGUAGGCAGGUCGUCAGGGGUCGUGAUGAGAUUCGCACGCUGGGGUGGUUCUUUCCUCACCGGGGCAGGCUUGGGAGGCCUGUUUGGUUUGACAGCCUCAACUUCCGUUUUAGGGAUAUCAAACUGCAGUAGAUAAGGAAAACGAGCACGAUCAAUCAAAACUUAAACAUGAGAGAGCUUCAAAAGUAACACAGCUAGACCCUAGACAACAUUCUGCGUAUAAUUAAGACAUUCAGGUUCCCAACUAUCAAAAGAGAACUGUAAAGUAAUCAAAGUCGUAGCUGAACUCAAUACCACUUAGUUAAAGAAGCACAGCUAGUUCGGACAAUAAUAAAAACAUGAAUCAUGGCAAAAGAAAUACCAUUUGGGUAGCUAACACCCAACAGCAGAGAUUUUUCAAUUUACAACAUACACUAAAGCUGGGUUUUUACAAGGUAAAUCUCGUGUUGCAUACUCUUCAAAAGUAAUAAACACAUUGCAGGAAAGACCUAAAACAGUAAAAAUAGGACCAAUGUUUAAAUGCUUUUUGAUUUCUUCAUAGUAUAUUCUACAUCUUAUAUUUGCAAGACAAAUUCUGUUACUUAAUAGCGAAUAUCCAUUUGACAAUGAAUGGAAGGGAAAAUAAACUAAACUUCCAUAAGUACUAACCUUGAAACCACAGCCAGAAACACAAGCACGAAAACAUUCCUGCGUAAAUAAGAAAAUAGUUAAAAUGACAAUGUAGUAGUAGUAUGAUCACGACAAUUUUGUCAUUGUAAGAUGUCUCUCAUAUAGGCAAUCACAGCUUCCUGGUUGUUACCAAUGUGAGUUGCAAAAUGUAGGAAUGAUCAUACAAGUUUGUACCAAAAUAGCUUAACUGUCUCCCAUUCAACCACAGAAAAGAAACCACUUUGAUUCAGUCAAUGUGAUUUCCUGAUUUAAUUUACUCUCACGUUCUACGGCAUUUGUUCCUUACUGCAGUAAAUAUGCCCCUGCUAAUCCUGUCCAUUUUCUCAUGGACUGAGUUAGCUCCAAUUAUUAAUAGAGUAAAGCUUGAUAGUAUGUUGGAUACAUAUCAUAAAUUGAGUAUAUUAAACAAAUAUUUCAAGUUUCAAAACUUUAGUAAGAAGAGAUCAGUUGGUAAGAAGCUAUCCAUUACCAAAGAUUGUUUGAGAAAAGAAAGUAAGAGAAAUCCAGCAAGUAAAGAGGUUAGUUUUGCCAAUAUCUUACCGAUGAUGUGCAUUAAUAUAAUUAGUUAUGAGCAAUAAAGUACAGAAAUAGAGUCUACAAGACUCACCAAAGAGUAACUGUCUUCGCCAGGGGACCUAUCAAUGUAUGCACUCCAUUCGUGAUCCUUCAGAACUGGAUCUUUAUAGCAUAUCUCGUUGCACUCUUCCACACCUGAAGAGUAAAGAAGCAACCAGAUGUUACAAGCAACAAAAAUUAAUAUAACAUGUGCCUCCAAGGUAUAAGAAUACUGUUAUACUCUUACUAAUGCCAAAAUCAUAAAAUAAAGGAUUACUUUUGGAGGGCAAGAAACAAGAUAUAGGUUGAACUGGUAUUUUCUACCACUUGAUAUAUCAUCAUUAGUUCCAUGCAUGGAAUGCAAUGUGUCUAAAUUUCAAAGAGAAGAGAGGGAAAAAAAAAACUUCGCAGCUUUUGCUAAGCUAUAUUUACCAAUACAGAAUAUCGAUUUUAAGUCUGUCGGCAUCAAUUAGAUGAAACUCUACUUCUGAUGGCAAUGCGCAAAGCAUGUGUAUUUUCAACCUUGAUAACUUUUACGAUGAACUGAAUAAGAAAGAGGUAAACCUACCAGAAAUGCCCAAUAUAAAUCAACAUUGAUCAUCAUCUUGCUGUGUUGUGCGGCAUUAUAUUAGUUCAUCUACAUUCAUUUGAUGUUGACAUAAGUUCUUGAUUUAGGAAGUCAUACUGUGAAACACUUGAAGCAUUCAUUCCAACCAUAGCACUAAGGAAAACAUACUAUUUGCACAAAGAACAUUAGCCCAAGGUUGUAAAUGAGUCGUAAUCAUCAAGUUGCAUAUGUUGUAUGAUGCUUCUAAAAUCAUUUCAUGAUUAUAACGGUUCUCGAUUCAGCAAGUCAUUUUCUCGAACACCUAACGUAAAUUCUAACCACAGCAAUACGCAACAUGGCGCAAAGUACAUAUAACCAAAUCAGGCCAACAUUUUGUACUAAGUACAAGAAGCAUAUAACAAAACCUAUCAAGAACCCUAAUCUCUUCCAAAAUAUACUCAUCAUAUCAUCUUCAACAAUAUUUCAAACUGAUAGGCUUCAACACAGGAUCAACAUUAACAAGCCUAGCCUCACAUUAAUAAGAAAUUACAAGAGCAGAAUAAAGAUGAUGCUUACAUUCCUCCCAAGUCUCAGCAUCCGCAUCGCACCCUUUCUUGCAGAAAACUCUCCCUGCAAAGUUACAUACUCAGGAUCAACUCAACAUUCCGCACGCAUCCCACAUACAACCUUAAUCGAACAAAACAGAAUAGGCGAUCACAUUGAUCCUUGCCAUUGUUACUACUCCAAGAACAAUCGAUUCCCCAAAAUCGAUCUAGAGAUGUGUAGAGAGAGAGAGGGAGAGGGAUACGAACAGGGGAUCUGGAGGAGAGCGGAGUACUUCUUGGUGCAGCAGCUCCCGCACGGCGGCGCCCAGUCCUUCGGGAACAUGGCGCCGCCACCGCCGCCUCCGUCUCCGCCGCGUCGCCGCCGCCGCGGUGGUUCGUAAUCGAUCGGAAGGAGGAGAGAGAGGAGAGGAGAGGAGAGGAGAGAGAGAGAGAGAGAGAGAGAGAGAGAGAGGAUGAAAUGGAACGCGUCCGAGGAUGAUGUGCGCAGAGUCCGCCUCUUAAAUAGAAGAGCGUUUUUACACCUUAGUCACUGAAAAUGUUACGAAUUUGUAAAUAUUGCAAUACCAUGGUGCUAUUGUUUACUAAUAAGUCCUUUAAGUUGUUAGUGAAAUAAAAGCAGCAGCUUACUAACUAACGAGAAUUUGGCGCACUUGGAUUUUUUUUAAAAAGAAACUUUUUAGUUCACGCUAAAAAUUCGAUUGAAGAGUACCAAGGGAAAAUAAGGCCUCGUUUUGUGUCUUAUUUAUUUUUUAAAAUAAAUUUUAUAUAUCAAAAUAUUAAGGAGUGAACAUUGAAUUACUUAUUAAAAAAAUGAUAAAUAGUUUAUUUUUUGAUUUCCGGAUAAGAUCCAACAUUUUAAAAUUAUUAUUAUAUAAUAUCAAAUUUUCAAAAAUAUAAAAAUAUUUAAUGGGUAUUUGAUAAAUAUAUUUAUCAAAUAACAAAUGAUUGAUUACUGUUAGGAGGAGAUCAACAUUAUAUUAUAAGUAAAUGACAUUUUAUAAAUAGGCAAGAAUGCAAGAUAUGAUACCGUAGAAAUUUUUAGAAAAGUUAAUAUGCAACUUAUUAUACAAAAUAUUUUGCUUAUCAUAAUAGUAGUGAAAUAUCAUCCAAAAAUAACAUAUACUUUAUUUUUUUAUUGUUGGAUAAAAUUCAACGGUUUAAAAUUAUUAUGUAAUAUCAAACUUUAAAAAAUAAUAAAUAGAAGUUUUCCCAAUAACAAAUAGUAUGAUAUUAUUAGAAAAUUAUUGACAUUAUAUUAUAUAAGUCAAUGGCAUUUUUGAAAAAAAAGAGAAAAAAACUCACUCUGGUAAUAAUAUUACAGAUAUAGAUAUAUAGAGUAAUUCUCCAAAAUAAAAUAAAUUAAAUAUAAAGCACUUACUUUUUUUUAAGGAUCUAGACCAAGGGCUCUAAGUAAAGAAAAGUUCAGAUACCAAAUUGCAAUAUCGGAAUACUAGAGGGACCGUCCAGGCAUUUGACCCAAGCUUUACAAGAUGCGGCUUGUAUAACCGCCUCUUCCAAACCCUAGUUCCACCUCUUCGCAUCGCAUCCCCUUCCCCUCCGCUCCCCAAAACCCUCGCCUUUUCCGUUUCUUCAAAACCCUAGCCAUGGUGAAGAAGAAGAAGGAGAAGCAGGUCAACGUCUCGGGGAAGCCGAAGCACUCGCUCGACGUGAACCGCAGCAAUGGCGGAGGCGACAAGGGAGUCCGCUCCGCGGCCACGGUGCGGCGGCUCAAGAUGUACAACACGAGGCCGAAGCGCGAUCGCAAGGGGAAGGUGUUGAAGCACGAUCUCCAAUCCAAGGAGCUCCCCAACACCCGCAUCGAGCCCGAUCGGCGCUGGUUCGGUGCGCAAUUCUCUGCUAUCUCCCAAUCUAUUCGCAUGCUGUGAUUCUCUCGAUUUUAUGCUAUAUAGUAGGAAUUUGGAGUGAACUAGGGUUAAAAUUAUGUUGACGAUGCUUCAUUUUGCUCGCCUAGCAUGAUUAUUUGAAGCUUUCUAUUGUCAUAUAGCUCUUAAAUCAGUUUCGAAAGCAUGUGUAUAUGUAAUUCACUUUUAAAAUAAGUAGUUGAGGAUGCAACUUGAGAUGAAGAUCGUCCACAAAAUUACUAUAUUUGUUGCGUUUCAGAGUUUAUAAUUUGUUGGACUAUUGUUCUCUACAUUUCUGUUGUUCUUAUUUAUUUAGCAGAGUGUUCUUAUUACUUAAGAAGAUAAGGGUAUGUUAUUUAUCAUGCUGUGCAAGAGUUGUUCUAUGGUUCCUGCGGCAUCUGAUCAAAUGUUUGGGCUGUAGGGAACACGCGAGUUGUGAACCAGAAAGAGCUUGAGUUCUUCAGGGAGGAGCUUCAGAGCCGUCUUUCAAAUAAUUACAAUGUCAUACUGAAGGAGAGGAAGCUGCCCCUGUCGCUUCUAAAUGAUCAUCAAAAGGUAGCUAUGCUUUGAUUAUGAACUCCACUUGCAAGUCAUGGAUUAUACUUUACACUCUGUUUCUAGCGAUUGGUUAUCUAACAGAAAGGUGAAUUUAGCGGCAGAUUAAUUUAUCUUGCUGACGUUUUCAUUAUCCCUUAGAGACACAGUUUCUAAUUUUUUUCUUCAAAAUUCCUUCUAGUUUUCUUGUGAUCAUAUUAAAUGUUGCAAUAGUUUUGGUGAGAUACUAAGUUUUGUUUUUUCCCUUAUAAAUAUGUGAAACAGCAAGCCAAGGCGCAUCUUCUUGAUACUGAGCCUUUCGACCAUGCAUUUGGGCCGAAGAGGAAGAGGAAGCGCCCUAAGCUCUUGGCAUCUGAUUAUGAUUCUUUGGUUAAAAAAGCAGAUGUCUCUCAAGGUAUAGUCUUACUGUAUUGAUUAUGAUUCUUUGGUUAAAAAAGUAGAUGUCUCUCAAGGUAUAGUCUUACUGUAUUAUAAUUUCAUUACCUCUGUUUCAAUUUGAAAUAGCAGAACCAAGCAAAUAUAUUUUUUAAUGCUUGCUGAUUGAUACCGUGUAGAUGCAUUUGAGCAAAAAUCUGCUGCUGCAAACCUAUCUAAGGGGGAGGAAGAGGAAGAUGGUUUACGAGACCUAGUUCGGCAUACAAUGUUCGAAAAGGGGCAGAGCAAGCGAAUAUGGGGUGAACUUUACAAAGUUGUUGAUUCUUCAGAUGUAGUUGUACAGGUUAACUUCUAAUUUGUAUCUUUUCUGCUGUAUGUUUAUGUACUGAUGAAAAUAAUUAGUCUUUCGGUAUCUGCUAAUAUGAAAGAAUAUAUUAACAUGGUGCAUGCAUUUUGUUAUAGAUGUUUAUGCAUUGUGUGGCGCUUUUUUUAACCAUACUAAGUAUGGAAAACCCUCAAGAAUAGGCCAUUAUGAAAUAGAUUCCCUGAACUUUUUUUUUGGU
RNAcentral lists this long non-coding RNA (28570 nucleotides) under Ananas comosus (pineapple). RNAcentral describes it as "long non-coding RNA (ACOM_LNC031974)". The record is from RNAcentral. Lineage: Eukaryota; Viridiplantae; Streptophyta; Magnoliopsida; Poales; Bromeliaceae.